This 72-nucleotide transfer RNA is filed under the name Ovis aries (sheep). It matches the Rfam family "tRNA". From Rfam's summary of the family: Transfer RNA (tRNA) molecules are approximately 80 nucleotides in length. Their secondary structure includes four short double-helical elements and three loops (D, anti-codon, and T loops). Lineage: Eukaryota; Metazoa; Chordata; Mammalia; Artiodactyla; Bovidae. The record is from Rfam by way of RNAcentral.
UCCCUGGUGGCUCAAAUGAUAAAGAGUCUGCCUGCAAUGUAGGAGAUGCAGGUUUGAUCCCUGUUUCGGGAA